GAAAAUAGACUAAACAUUUAUAUUUUUGUACACCGAUCAUUCUAAUCCUCCAUUUUAAUCCAAGUCCGUUUGACUGAAAUAUUCCGUGUUACUAUUAGAAUUAAAUACAACGCAUACCCUAAAAGAGGAGGGGCUACAUAGCUUAAGCAUUUUACUGUAUAAUAUAUCAGUGGCGUAUUUAUGAGGGAGAAUGGGAAAUUAGGAAGAUAUAUCUACACCCACAACCUUUUUUCAGUAUAUAUUAUUUAUGUAACCACCUAAUUUUAAAUUUAAAUUUCUUUAUAUUUUAGUCAGAAAAAUCAACAAUUUAAUGUGUUUGUACAUA
This is a non-coding RNA of Cinara cedri, 325 nucleotides long. The record is from the annotation of a GenBank genome assembly. NCBI's taxonomy places the organism in Eukaryota, Metazoa, Arthropoda, Insecta, Hemiptera, Aphididae.